UGUCUCCCUGCUCUGGGCAUCGGAGGGCAGCACAGUCACAACACUGUCACUGGUUUCUUGGCUCUCUGCUGUCUCCCUCACUCCCACCAUAUGCCCUGCUAACCUCGGGGCUCCAGGGAGGACCUGGUGCCAGGCCGAGGACCUCCUGCCACCAGAAGCAGGCCAAGGCCAGCUCCAGCCGGUGUGUCCAUGGGACGGAAGGGCAUGGUCUGUUUCUCUUGGCGGGAGACCCAGGAGUCUGCUGAGUGAUGGGUUCUUGAGAAGGUCCAGGAAGCCAUGGGCUUGGUGACCAGAGGGAUGUGAAUCAUUUGCAACACUUCCCAAGCCCCUCCCAGUCCCCCUUUGAAUCCUCACAAGGACUCCAGGGGUGAGCAUCGUGACACCCACUUUAAGGACUAGGAAAGUGAGAUGCAGGAAGGCCGAGUCUUCCCCAGCGUCACAGUCAUGGUUCCAAGGCUUCCGGCUGAGAGAGGGGGAGCUCAGGAGGCCCUGGAGCCCCACCCCCUGAUGGCCCAUGUGACCCCACAGCUGGUACGAGUGACAACCACCUCAGCAAGGGGCUGGAGGUGCUCCCGCUCAGGAGGCUUCGCCUGCCAGAUUCUGCUGACAGCAGGGCUGACACAGCAGUGUGGCACCUGAGUUUGAACCCUGGCCCAGGUCUGACUUCCCAUGAAGGAAGGGAAGAGGAGGACCAAGAUGGAGGAGUACUAAGGAGGGAAGACGUCCAGGCUCUACAGGCUUGACCUUGACCCACCCUUCUCGGCAGAGCCAGGGCAGGAGGAGAAGUGAGGGAGAACAUGGACGGAGGCUGAGUUCCAGCCCUGGAGACCCUGGCACUGCCUUCUGGUGGGGCUGCCCCACCACCCUCUCACCUCUCUACGAAGCAGCACUGGCCUCAGGACCUGGGGGGCUCCAACGGGGCCAGUCCCAGAACAUUCUCAGGACCAGCCUCCCAGCCUGAUCUUCCAUGUUCCUAGGACUUAAAAUAAAACUGGAAACCUCCAUCCCAUCUGGCUUCUGGAAGUGGUGGCACAGG
Molecule: long non-coding RNA, 1036 nt
Organism: Rhinolophus ferrumequinum (greater horseshoe bat)
Lineage: Eukaryota; Metazoa; Chordata; Mammalia; Chiroptera; Rhinolophidae
Exons: 3
Source: RefSeq, a predicted model, not a curated record